GGACUGCAGAAUCUCACUUCUCUUAAUAAUUAGAGAUUUGGGGAUGCCCAAGAUCGGCGUCUUUGCCUUGAGCGAUGUGUUACCUCACCUCUGUUGGCUAUUGGUGGGUGUAGAGACAAGAAUUGUGUGAGACGAACAAAAUAGGUGAACAGGUUAAACUCAAUACAAUUAAAUGUCGAUAAUAGACUUGUGAAGAAGAGAGCAGGUUAAACUCAAUAAAGGGCCUCUGUAUCCUGAAAAAAUAGGUGAACAAGAGUGCGUUCGACUCAGAGAGUAAAAUACUGAUUUUAAGUACAAUUACUAAAGCUAAUGCAUUCUAAAGAGUGGAAUACAUUACUUUCAUAGUUUUUUAUACAAAUUACAUCAUAAAUAAUAAAAAGGUAAUUUGAAACACUCACACACCCAUAUAAUAUUCAAAUAGCGUAUAUAUGAGAGCUGAUCCCCUAUAUAGCUCUCUUAAUUCAACCUCUGCCAGCGAGUACAUCUCAAGUCGGAUUUUCUCUUAAUAGACCAAAUGUAGAGGCCAACGAGAUCAUCUCGAGCUAUGCCUACCCCUAUUUAUCCAUAAAAGAAUCGGGUCCUAGCGAGUCAAGCUCCAGCCGCGUCUACCCGUCCGGUUCAUAUCCAAUAUCACACACCACACGCACGCCAACACACACACACUGCUUCAAAUUACCAUAAAACAGCAUCUAUAACAUUUCAUCAAAUAAAGAUGCAAUAUAAAAUGUGCCUAGUAUUUAACUAUAUAAAUAUAUAUUUACAAGUGAUGCAUGGGCAUACCUGAAUAUAUAAUAAUAUUAAAAUU
RNAcentral lists this unclassified non-coding RNA (805 nucleotides) under Hevea brasiliensis (rubber tree). Lineage: Eukaryota; Viridiplantae; Streptophyta; Magnoliopsida; Malpighiales; Euphorbiaceae. The record is from RNAcentral.